UUUAAUGAGAGUUUGAUCCUGGCUCAGGACGAACGCUGGCGGCGUGCCUAAUACAUGCAAGUAGAACGCUGAUGUUUGGUGUUUACACUAGACUGAUGAGUUGCGAACGGGUGAGUAACGCGUAGGUAACCUGCCUCAUAGCGGGGGAUAACUAUUGGAAACGAUAGCUAAUACCGCAUAAGAGUGAUUAACACAUGUUAGUUAUUUAAAAGGAGCAAUUGCUUCACU
RNAcentral lists this ribosomal RNA (228 nucleotides) under Streptococcus agalactiae GB00897. RNAcentral's name for it is "partial 16S ribosomal RNA". It matches the Rfam family "Bacterial small subunit ribosomal RNA", at positions 1 to 219 of the family's 1533-position model. The record is from RNAcentral. Lineage: Bacteria; Bacillati; Bacillota; Bacilli; Lactobacillales; Streptococcaceae.